This 440-nucleotide long non-coding RNA is filed under the name Mytilus galloprovincialis (Mediterranean mussel). Lineage: Eukaryota; Metazoa; Mollusca; Bivalvia; Mytilida; Mytilidae. The record is from RNAcentral.
GGGGGGGUGCUUGCACGGAAAAAACGUGAAAUAAGACAUAAUUUCACGUUGAACGUGAAAUAAUUUCUGUAAUGAACGUUGCACGAAAAAUAAAUACUUUUAUGUUAACCUUUUGUGACUGAAUCACUGUCUCUUUGUAUAUAUUAACUCUUUGUUUUACUUGAUAUUCCCGAUUUAGUGUACACAUUUAUGAUUUAAUUGGUUUACGGCUUUUAAAAAAGUAUUUCUUGCCAAGUGUUUGAAUUUUAUUUGAAAAUAACGAGCACGCAAAAUAAGACUUUGAAAAUCACGAUGCACGUUAAAUUAAAUAAGCAGAACACGUUGAACGAGGCACCCGUCUUGCACGACUGAACGUCAAAUAAAAAAGAAAAAACACGUUGAACGUAAAUAAAAAACGGCGAUCACGUUGCACGAAAAUAACCCUUUACCACCCUCGAUAA